AGAUCUAUCGUUCAACGGAUAGGACUUAAACCUUCUAAGUUUAAAAUGUAGGUUCGAUUCCUACUAGAUCUA
RNAcentral lists this transfer RNA (72 nucleotides) under Nitzschia sp. PL3-2. Its description in RNAcentral is "tRNA-Arg". It matches the Rfam family "tRNA". Rfam says of the family: Transfer RNA (tRNA) molecules are approximately 80 nucleotides in length. Their secondary structure includes four short double-helical elements and three loops (D, anti-codon, and T loops). Lineage: Eukaryota; Bacillariophyta; Bacillariophyceae; Bacillariales; Bacillariaceae. The record is from RNAcentral.